UACGGAGGGGGCUAGCGUUGUUCGGAAUCACUGGGCGUAAAGCGCGCGUAGGCGGCUUGAAAAGUUGGAUGUGAAAUCCCGGGGCUUAACCCCGGAACUGCAUUCAAAACUUUCUGGCUAGAGACUUAGAGAGGUGGGCGGAAUUCCGAGUGUAGAGGUGAAAUUCGUAGAUAUUCGGAAGAACACCGGUUGCGAAGGCG
This 200-nucleotide ribosomal RNA is filed under the name uncultured bacterium. RNAcentral's name for it is "partial 16S ribosomal RNA". It matches the Rfam family "Bacterial small subunit ribosomal RNA", at positions 524 to 723 of the family's 1533-position model. The record is from RNAcentral.